Molecule: ribosomal RNA, 301 nt
Filed under: uncultured bacterium
Lineage: Bacteria
Description: partial 16S ribosomal RNA
Rfam family: Bacterial small subunit ribosomal RNA
Source: RNAcentral
CAGUCGCCACGGUAAUACAGAGGGUGCGAGCGUUAAUCGGAUUUACUGGGCGUAAAGCGUGCGUAGGCGGCUUCUUAAGUCGGAUGUGAAAUCCCUGAGCUUAACUUAGGAAUUGCAUUCGAUACUGGGAAGCUAGAGUAUGGGAGAGGAUGGUAGAAUUCCAGGUGUAGCGGUGAAAUGCGUAGAGAUCUGGAGGAAUACCGAUGGCGAAGGCAGCCAUCUGGCCUAAUACUGACGCUGAGGUACGAAAGCAUGGGGAGCAAACAGGAUUAGAUACCCCCGUAGUCCCUGUCUCUUAUAA